UCAUGGCUCAGAGUGAACGCUGGCGGUAGGCCUAACACAUGCAAGUCGAACGGCAGCACAGAGGAGCUUGCUCCUUGGGUGGCGAGUGGCGGACGGGUGAGGAAUACAUCGGAAUCUACUCUGUCGUGGGGGAUAACGUAGGGAAACUUACGCUAAUACCGCAUACGACCUACGGGUGAAAGCAGGGGAUCUUCGGACCUUGCGCGAUUGAAUGAGCCGAUGUCGGAUUAGCUAGUUGGCGGGGUAAAGGCCCACCAAGGCGACGAUCCGUAGCUGGUCUGAGAGGAUGAUCAGCCACACUGGAACUGAGACACGGUCCAGACUCCUACGGGAGGCAGCAGUGGGGAAUAUUGGACAAUGGGCGCAAGCCUGAUCCAGCCAUACCGCGUGGGUGAAGAAGGCCUUCGGGUUGUAAAGCCCUUUUGUUGGGAAAGAAAUCCAGCCGGCUAAUACCUGGUUGGGAUGACGGUAC
Molecule: ribosomal RNA, 472 nt
Filed under: Stenotrophomonas maltophilia
Lineage: Bacteria; Pseudomonadati; Pseudomonadota; Gammaproteobacteria; Lysobacterales; Lysobacteraceae
Description: bacterial SSU rRNA
Rfam family: Bacterial small subunit ribosomal RNA
Source: RNAcentral